UCUGGUUAUGUUAAAUCUGAAGUGGGUCUAUAUUGAUCUUUUGGUUUUGAUUUGGAUUUAGCUGUAGAUAUGGAGUAUAUUUGUGAGAGUGAGAGUGGGACCAUUAGCUCUGAUUUGAUGUUCCCCAUAUUUGGAAUUAACGUUACGGUUAGGUGAAUAACAAGAGUAUUUGAUGAUGACACAAUGGUCUGAAGGAAUCUUUUUCUUCUAGAUAGAAUACCGUACUUUCUUGCCUUUUACGAGGAAAAAUACCAAAGUCUUGCAAGAAAAUCAGAGAAUAUUUUUGAAGCUGCCAGUUUG
RNAcentral lists this unclassified non-coding RNA (300 nucleotides) under Hevea brasiliensis (rubber tree). The record is from RNAcentral. Lineage: Eukaryota; Viridiplantae; Streptophyta; Magnoliopsida; Malpighiales; Euphorbiaceae.